CCUUUUGCAAACAUUAGGGCUCCAAUACCUGAGUUGAGCCUUUGAGACAUAGGGCCUCCAUUCCCUAGUCGCCUUUUGCCAGCAUUAGGGAUCAAAUCUCUGAGUUAAGCCUUUUUAGACAUAGGGCCUCCAUUCCCUAGUCGCUUUUUCUGCCAACAUUAGGGCUCUAAUCCCUAAGUUGAGCCUUUUAGACAUAGGGCCUCCAUUCCCUAGGCGCCUUAUUUUACCAACAUUAGGGGUCCAAUCCCUGAGUUGAGCUUUUUAGACAUAGGGCCUCCAUUCCCUAGUCGUCUUUUGCCAACAUUAGGGAUCCAAUCCCUAAGUUGAACUUUUUAGACAUAGGGCCUUCAUUCCCUAGUCGCUUUUUGCCAAUAUUAGGGCUCCAAUCCCUGAGUUGAGCCUUUUUAGAUAUAGGGCCUCCAUUCCCUAGUCACCUUUUGCCAACAUUAGGGCUCCAAUCGCUCAGUUGAGUUUUUUUGACAUAGAGCCUCCAUUCCCUAGUCACCUUUUGCCAACAUUAGGGCUUCAAUCCCUGAGUUGAGCCUUUUUAGACAUAGGGUCUCCAUUCCCUAGUCGCCUUUUGCCAAUAUUAGGGAUCCAAUCCCUGAGUUGAGAUUUUUAGACAUAAGGCCUCCAUUCCCUAGUCUCCAUUUGCCAACAUUAGGGCUCCAAUCCCUGAGUUGA
RNAcentral lists this long non-coding RNA (684 nucleotides) under Nicotiana tabacum (common tobacco). Its description in RNAcentral is "long non-coding RNA (NTAB_LNC009900)". Lineage: Eukaryota; Viridiplantae; Streptophyta; Magnoliopsida; Solanales; Solanaceae. The record is from RNAcentral.